Non-coding RNA from Paramuricea clavata, 583 nucleotides. Lineage: Eukaryota; Metazoa; Cnidaria; Anthozoa; Malacalcyonacea; Plexauridae. The record is from the annotation of a GenBank genome assembly.
AUUUUCAUGCAGUUAAAUGCAAUUUAACUAAGUUAACAACAAAGAGCGCAGUUAGUGUGUUAGUUAGUAUGGUCAGUGAUUUCUGGCAUACCAGCAUGCGCAUGGCGAUAGUAGGUCAGCGGCUGUUAGUGUUUGAGCAUGCGCAAACAACAGGCACGCAUUGUUCGGAAAUCCUUCUAGACUUGGGUGCUUAUUAUCGGAAAGUUCAUUGUUUUUUCUUAUUAUUUUUUUUAUUUUUUAUUUUUUUUGUCCAUCCACUGACCCAGUCAGUGUGACAGGUGUUAGGGCCUGGUGUGGGGGCUCAUGGCUGGGUUGCAGGGAAUUGCAAGCCAUGAGAGUGGUAUGUUUGUCUGGGGGCUGGCUUUGGAAGUGGAAGCCCCUAGGUGACCCAGGCACCCAUUAUCCACAAGCGAUACAGUUGUUAAUUUAAUUUAAAGCAAAUUAGUGGAUUUUAAACAACGUUUAUGCAAAUGGAGCCGCACGUUCAUUUAUUUCUGUCUGAUUCCCGCCAAAUUUCCAGACCGGAGCGUGGAAAAGAAUUGUUUACAAUGACUAUAAUUAAUAUAAAACCACAUGAAUAUGG